Molecule: ribosomal RNA, 906 nt
Filed under: Escherichia coli
Lineage: Bacteria; Pseudomonadati; Pseudomonadota; Gammaproteobacteria; Enterobacterales; Enterobacteriaceae
Description: partial 23S ribosomal RNA
Rfam family: Bacterial large subunit ribosomal RNA
Source: RNAcentral
UGAAAUUGAACUCGCUGUGAAGAUGCAGUGUACCCGCGGCAAGACGGAAAGACCCCGUGAACCUUUACUAUAGCUUGACACUGAACAUUGAGCCUUGAUGUGUAGGAUAGGUGGGAGGCUUUGAAGUGUGGACGCCAGUCUGCAUGGAGCCGACCUUGAAAUACCACCCUUUAAUGUUUGAUGUUCUAACGUGGGCCCCUUACCGGGGUUGCGGACAGUGUCUGGUGGGUAGUUUGACUGGGGCGGUCUCCUCCUAAAGAGUAACGGAGGAGCACGAAGGUUGGCUAAUCCUGGUCGGACAUCAGGAGGUUAGUGCAAUGGCAUAAGCCAGCUUGACUGCGAGCGUGACGGCGCGAGCAGGUGCGAAAGCAGGUCAUAGUGAUCCGGUGGUUCUGAAUGGAAGGGCCAUCGCUCAACGGAUAAAAGGUACUCCGGGGAUAACAGGCUGAUACCGCCCAAGAGUUCAUAUCGACGGCGGUGUUUGGCACCUCGAUGUCGGCUCAUCACAUCCUGGGGCUGAAGUAGGUCCCAAGGGUAUGGCUGUUCGCCAUUUAAAGUGGUACGCGAGCUGGGUUUAGAACGUCGUGAGACAGUUCGGUCCCUAUCUGCCGUGGGCGCUGGAGAACUGAGGGGGGCUGCUCCUAGUACGAGAGGACCGGAGUGGACGCAUCACUGGUGUUCGGGUUGUCAUGCCAAUGGCACUGCCCGGUAGCUAAAUGCGGAAGAGAUAAGUGCUGAAAGCAUCUAAGCACGAAACUUGCCCCGAGAUGAGUUCUCCCUGACUCCUUGAGAGUCCUGAAGGAACGUUGAAGACGACGACGUUGAUAGGCCGGGUGUGUAAGCGCAGCGAUGCGUUGAGCUAACCGGUACUAAUGAACCGUGAGGCUUAACCUUACAACGCCGAAG